GCUCACGGCUUCGACACCCUGCUCCAGAGCCUAUUUUCAGACCUGAAGACAUCCUGCCUCUCGCCUGUCACAGCCACUGUUUAAGAAGUUCACACAGACCCGCUGGGCAAAGCCAGUUGAGACCCUGGAGGAAAUCAUCACUACUGUGAGCGUCAGCCUGCCCGAAUUCUCAGAGCUGCAGGACUGUUUCCGGGAGGAGCUCAUGGAGGCAGUGCACCUGCACCUGGUAAAGGAAUACAUCAUCCGGCUCAGCAAACGGCGCCUGGUCCUCAA
This 273-nucleotide long non-coding RNA is filed under the name Rattus norvegicus (Norway rat). RNAcentral describes it as "long non-coding RNA NONRATT025359". Lineage: Eukaryota; Metazoa; Chordata; Mammalia; Rodentia; Muridae. The record is from RNAcentral.